This is a long non-coding RNA of Dioscorea cayenensis subsp. rotundata (Guinea yam), 1709 nucleotides long. RefSeq lists it as uncharacterized. NCBI's taxonomy places the organism in Eukaryota, Viridiplantae, Streptophyta, Magnoliopsida, Dioscoreales, Dioscoreaceae. The record is from RefSeq and is a predicted model, not a curated record. The transcript has 8 exons.
UCGCUCUCUCGACUUAAGCACAAGCUUCUCUCUUGUUGUUGCGGCGCUGAUCGUGAUGCCGACGACCACUAGGCCAUCUCCCUCAUCCGCUCGUCAUCCGUCUAGGUCCGAUUGGCGACCUCUAUUGCACCUUGGUGUCUUGGAUGUCCCACAAUCAUCACUGUCAUUGCCAUUCCAGGGAUUUCAGGGAUUGUGACGAGAAGGCCAUUGGUGCUACAAUUGGCAUAAGACGGAGGCGGAACAACUAGAGUAUGCUGAGAUCCUACAUUUUCUAAGAAGGAAGUUCACUGAUUUUGGGGUAGGAACAUUCUUCUUGGUCUUCUUAGGAUCACCAAGAACCAUCACCGUUGGGGCUUCUUGUCCUCCGACCACCCUCACCACCCUUACUACCUUCAACGCAGGAUCUCUGAGCAAUGACUGCAUGAACCUGAUUGCAUGAGUUCCAAUAGUGGCUGCUUAUCUCUAUCAAAGGUGAGAGUAUGUGGGAGCACUGCAUAUGUUGCCCAAACUGCAUGGAUUCAGAAUGGAACUAUACAAGAGAACAUCCUAUUUGGCAUGCCGAUGAAUUCAAGCAAAUACAAGGAAGUUCUUUGAGUUUGUUGUCUGGAGAAGGACAUGGAGAUGAUGGAGUUUGGAGACCAGACUGAGAUUUUAGAGAGAGAGGGAUUAAUCUGAGUGGUGCCAGAAGCAGAGAAUUUAACUCACCAGUGCUGUUUAUCAGGACUCUGAUGUUUAUCUACUUGAUGAUGUCUUCAGUGAUGUUGAUGCUCAUACUAGUUCUGAGAUCUUCAAGGAAUGCGUCAGAGGAGCUCUCAAGAUAAAACAGUCUUGCUUGUUACUCACCAAGUUGACUUCUUGCACAAUGUCAAUUACGUCUACAUGAGUUGUCUCUGAUUCCUUUUUAUUAUUUAUUUGUUCAGUUUUACCAUAUGAAGUCAGAACAUAGCUUUGAUUUAUUGCUAAUUUUUUUUAUAAUGAUUAUUGGUGAAAUUCAAUCACAAAACAGGGUUAAUUCAAGUUUACGGAUGGAUUUCACAACAAUGGAUCCAACGAAUGGCUAGGAUUCCGGUUAGAAUUAGUUGGGAGCUUUGUCCUCCGCUUCGCCACUUUGCUCAUUGUCAUGCUUCCUGCGAAUAUUAUCCAACCAGAGGAGCGGGGCGAACCCACUAAAGACCCAGGACGUGCACAAGCCUCGGUGGAACAAGUGGGGACUGGGCCGUGCUCACGUGGGCACUGUAACCACUCAUACACAACCACUUUUCACAACUCCCAGAAAUGUGCCCUCAGCCGAGAAUCGAACUCUCACCACUCGGUGAGGCUCUAUCGGCGACCCGUGUACCAAUAGACCCAAAGAUCGUUGGCAACUAUAACACAAAGGUUGUUUGUGGUUGGCAUGUGAUAUGUGGGAAACUCACAUGUGUUUCUUAUGAUGUGGAAUAUGUAGGCCUAUCACUGUCCUACAGCCUCAGUUGGAAUACCAGGUUUCAAAUGUCUUCAGUUGAGUCCAUAAUUAAAGAUUCCUGCUAUCAUGAUGUGAUUGAGCAUCCAAUGGACUUUAGGACAAUAAGGAAGAAGCUUGACUUAUUUGAUGAGAUUGAGGAAUUGCUUUAUAGUCUUGUAGAAAACUCACUACACAAGUGAGCACUAAAAUUAUUAUUAAUUCAUUGGAUGUUUUGGUAUUCUUUUCAUUCAACUUCUACCUACCUAUU